CCUACGGGUGGCAGCAGUGAGGAAUAUUGGUCAAUGGACGAGAGUCUGAACCAGCCAAGUAGCGUGAAGGAUGACUGCCCUAUGGGUUGUAAACUUCUUUUAUAUGGGAAUAAAACGUUCCACGUGUGGGUUUUUGUAUGUACCUUAUGAAUAAGGAUCGGCUAACUCCGUGCCAGCAGCCGCGGUAAUACGGAGGAUCCGAGCGUUAUCCGGAUUUAUUGGGUUUAAAGGGUGCGUAGGGGGGUGGUUAAGUCAGUGGUAAAAUUUAGGGGCUCAACCCAUUCCUGCCAUUGAAACUGGCACGCUGGAGUGGAGGAGAGGUAGGCGGAAUGCGUGGUGUAGCGGUGAAAUGCAUAGAUAUCACGCAGAACCCCGAUUGCGAAGGCAGCAUACCAGAUUGCGACUGACACUGAAGCACGAAAGCGUGGGGAUCGAACAGGAUUAGAUACCCGAGUAGUC
RNAcentral lists this ribosomal RNA (459 nucleotides) under uncultured bacterium. Its description in RNAcentral is "partial 16S ribosomal RNA". It matches the Rfam family "Bacterial small subunit ribosomal RNA", at positions 338 to 795 of the family's 1533-position model. The record is from RNAcentral.